Molecule: ribosomal RNA, 433 nt
Filed under: uncultured bacterium
Lineage: Bacteria
Description: partial 16S ribosomal RNA
Rfam family: Bacterial small subunit ribosomal RNA
Source: RNAcentral
AACGAACGCUGGCGGCAUGCCUAACACAUGCAAGUCGAACGAGACCUUCGGGUCUAGUGGCGCACGGGUGCGUAACGCGUGGGAACCUGCCCUUAGGUUCGGAAUAACUCCCCGAAAGGGGUGCUAAUACCGGAUAAUGUCUUCGGACCAAAGAUUUAUCGACUUUGGAUGGGCCCGCGUUGGAUUAGCUAGUUGGUAGGGUAAAAGCCUACCAAGGCGACGAUCCAUAGCUGGUCUGAGAGGAUGAUCAGCCACACUGGGACUGAGACACGGCCCAGACUCCUACGGGAGGCAGCAGUGGGGAAUAUUGGACAAUGGGCGAAAGCCUGAUCCAGCAAUGCCGCGUGAGUGAUGAAGGCCUUAGGGUUGUAAAGCUCUUUUACCCGGGGUGAUAAUGACAGUACCGGGAGAAUAAGCUCCGGCUAACUCCGUG